Molecule: ribosomal RNA, 464 nt
Filed under: uncultured bacterium
Lineage: Bacteria
Description: bacterial SSU rRNA
Rfam family: Bacterial small subunit ribosomal RNA
Source: RNAcentral
GGACUCGCACAAGCGGUGGAGCAUGCGGUUUAAUUCGAUGCAACGCGAAGAACCUUACCAGGUCUUGACAUCCCACUGACCGAUCUAGAGAUAGGUCUUCCCUUCGGGGCAGUGGUGACAGGUGGUGCAUGGUUGUCGUCAGCUCGUGUCGUGAGAUGUUGGGUUAAGUCCCGCAACGAGCGCAACCCUUAUCAUUAGUUGCUACCAUUAAGUUGAGCACUCUAAUGAGACCGCCGGUGACAAACCGGAUGAAGGUGGGGAUGACGUCAAAUCAUCAUGCCCCUUAUGACCUGGGCUACACGCGUGCUACAAUGGCUAGUACAAAGAGUUGCAAUACCGCGAGGUGGAGCUAAUCUCAUAAAGCUAGUCUCAGUUCGGAUUGUAGUCUGCAACUCGACUACAUGAAGUUGGAAUCGCUAGUAAUCGCGAAUCAGAAUGUCGCGGUGAAUACGUUCUCGAGUCUU